RNAcentral lists this ribosomal RNA (475 nucleotides) under Roseobacter sp. C115. RNAcentral describes it as "bacterial SSU rRNA". It matches the Rfam family "Bacterial small subunit ribosomal RNA", at positions 969 to 1461 of the family's 1533-position model. Lineage: Bacteria; Pseudomonadati; Pseudomonadota; Alphaproteobacteria; Rhodobacterales; Roseobacteraceae. The record is from RNAcentral.
CCUUACCAACCCUUGACAUCCCUGGACCGCUGGAGAGAUUCAGCUUUCUCGUAAGAGACCAGGUGACAGGUGCUGCAUGGCUGUCGUCAGCUCGUGUCGUGAGAUGUUCGGUUAAGUCCGGCAACGAGCGCAACCCACAUCCCUAGUUGCCAGCAGUUCGGCUGGGCACUCUAUGGAAACUGCCCGUGAUAAGCGGGAGGAAGGUGUGGAUGACGUCAAGUCCUCAUGGCCCUUACGGGUUGGGCUACACACGUGCUACAAUGGCAGUGACAAUGGGUUAAUCCCCAAAAACUGUCUCAGUUCGGAUUGGGGUCUGCAACUCGACCCCAUGAAGUCGGAAUCGCUAGUAAUCAGCGUAACAGCAUGACGCGGUGAAUACUGUUCCCGGGCCUUGUACACACCGCACCGUCACACCAUGGGAGUUGGUUACUACCCGACGGCCGUGCGCCAACCUUCGAGGAGGCAGCGGACCACG